GGAGAUAUAGCUCAGUGGUAGAACACUUGCCUAACAUGCACAAGGCCCUGGGUUCAAUCCCUGGUACCACCA
Molecule: transfer RNA, 72 nt
Filed under: Ictidomys tridecemlineatus (thirteen-lined ground squirrel)
Lineage: Eukaryota; Metazoa; Chordata; Mammalia; Rodentia; Sciuridae
Also listed under: 1 other name
Description: Spermophilus tridecemlineatus (thirteen-lined ground squirrel) tRNA
Rfam family: tRNA
About the family: Transfer RNA (tRNA) molecules are approximately 80 nucleotides in length.
Source: Rfam by way of RNAcentral